GCUGGCUGGCAGUGAUGUCCAAGCACCCCCCCUCAUGGAGGCUGAGGGUGGAGGAUGGUUGGAGCUCAGGAGCUCUGAGCUGCAGUGGACUGUGCUGAUCGGGUGUCUGCACUGAGUUCGGUACCGAUAUGGUCUUUCUGGGGGAGCCCGGGAGACCAGGUCGUCUAAGGACGGGUGAACCGGCCCAGGCCGGAAACGGAGCAGGUCAAAGCCCGCGUGCCGCUCAGCAGUGGGAUCA
This 238-nucleotide signal recognition particle RNA is filed under the name Oryzias sinensis (Chinese medaka). RNAcentral's name for it is "Metazoan signal recognition particle RNA (ENSOSIG00000001364.1)". It matches the Rfam family "Metazoan signal recognition particle RNA", at positions 1 to 242 of the family's 299-position model. From Rfam's summary of the family: The signal recognition particle (SRP) is a universally conserved ribonucleoprotein. It is involved in the co-translational targeting of proteins to membranes. The record is from Rfam by way of RNAcentral. Lineage: Eukaryota; Metazoa; Chordata; Actinopteri; Beloniformes; Adrianichthyidae.